Molecule: ribosomal RNA, 478 nt
Filed under: uncultured bacterium
Lineage: Bacteria
Description: partial 16S ribosomal RNA
Rfam family: Bacterial small subunit ribosomal RNA
Source: RNAcentral
GACGAACGCUGGCGGCGUGCUUAACACAUGCAAGUCGAACGGUAAGGCCCUUCGGGGUACACGAGUGGCGAACGGGUGAGUAACACGUGGGUGAUCUGCCCUGCACUUCGGGAUAAGCCUGGGAAACUGGGUCUAAUACCGGAUAGGACCCUGGGAUGCAUGUCCUGGGGUGGAAAGCUAUUGCGGUGUGGGAUGGGCCCGCGGCCUAUCAGCUUGUUGGUGGGGUGAUGGCCUACCAAGGCGACGACGGGUAGCCGGCCUGAGAGGGUGACCGGCCACACUGGGACUGAGAUACGGCCCGGACUCCUACGGGAGGCAGCAGUGGGGAAUAUUGCACAAUGGGCGCAAGCCUGAUGCAGCGACGCCGCGUGAGGGAUGACGGCCUUCGGGUUGUAAACCUCUUUCAGCACCGACGAAGCGCAAGUGACGGUAGGUGCAGAAGAAGGACCGGCCAACUACGUGCCAGCAGCCGCCGUAA